Molecule: ribosomal RNA, 430 nt
Filed under: uncultured bacterium
Lineage: Bacteria
Description: partial 16S ribosomal RNA
Rfam family: Bacterial small subunit ribosomal RNA
Source: RNAcentral
GUGGGGAAUAUUGCACAAUGGGCGCAAGCCUGAUGCAGCAACGCCGCGUGAGGGAUGACGGCCUUCGGGUUGUAAACCUCUUUUAGCAAGGAAGAAGCGAAAGUGACGGUACUUGCAGAAAAAGCGCCGGCUAACUACGUGCCAGCAGCCGCGGUAAUACGUAGGGCGCAAGCGUUGUCCGGAAUUAUUGGGCGUAAAGAGCUCGUAGGCGGUUUGUCGCGUCUGCUGUGAAAACCCGAGGCUCAACCUCGGGCCUGCAGUGGGUACGGGCAGACUAGAGUGCGGUAGGGGAGAAUGGAACUCCUGGUGUAGCGGUGGAAUGCGCAGAUAUCAGGAAGAACACCGAUGGCGAAGGCAGUUCUCUGGGCCGUAACUGACGCUGAGGAGCGAAAGCGUGGGGAGCAAACAGGAUUAGAAACCCGAGUAGUCC